GUGUUGAUGACGUUGAGGGUCCACCCGUUCCCAUACCGAACACGGAAGUUAAGCUCAAUAGUGCCGAAAAUACUUGAUUGGUGACGAUCCGGGAAGAGGUGUUGCUGCG
Molecule: ribosomal RNA, 109 nt
Filed under: bovine gut metagenome
Source: RNAcentral